GCGAGAAUGGCGGAACUGGUAGACGCGCUGGACUUAGGAUCCAGUGGGCUGACCCCGUGGGGGUUCGAGUCCCCCUUCUCGCA
This 83-nucleotide transfer RNA is filed under the name Alphaproteobacteria bacterium. RNAcentral describes it as "tRNA-Leu". It matches the Rfam family "tRNA". From Rfam's summary of the family: Transfer RNA (tRNA) molecules are approximately 80 nucleotides in length. Their secondary structure includes four short double-helical elements and three loops (D, anti-codon, and T loops). Lineage: Bacteria; Pseudomonadati; Pseudomonadota; Alphaproteobacteria. The record is from RNAcentral.